RNAcentral lists this ribosomal RNA (448 nucleotides) under uncultured bacterium. Its description in RNAcentral is "bacterial SSU rRNA". It matches the Rfam family "Bacterial small subunit ribosomal RNA", at positions 330 to 794 of the family's 1533-position model. The record is from RNAcentral.
GCCAGACUCCUACGGGAGGCAGCAGUGGGGAAUAUUGCACAAUGGGGGAAACCCUGAUGCAGCGACGCCGCGUGAGCGAUGAAGUAUUUCGGUAUGUAAAGCUCUAUCAGCAGGAACGAGACAAGACGGUACCUGACUAAGAAGCCCCGGCUAACUACGUGCCAGCAGCCGCGGUAAUACGUAGGGGGCAAGCGUUAUCCGGAAUCACUGGGUGUAAAGGGAGCGUAGACGGCUGUGCAAGCCUGAAGUGAAAGGCGGGGGCCCAACCCCUGGACUGCUUUGGGAACUGUACGGCUGGAGUGCAGGAGAGGUAAGUGGAAUUCCUAGUGUAGCGGUGAAAUGCGUAGAUAUUAGGAGGAACACCAGUGGCGAAGGCGGUUUACUGGACUGUAACUGACGUUGAGGCUCGAAAGCGUGGGGAGCAAACAGGAUUAGAUACCCUUGUACC